UUUUUUUUUUCCCCAUUGAUCAUUAAUCAAAAUUCAUGUAGGGGAUAGGGAUGAAUUUCUUCAUUUUGGUUAAAACCCUUUUUUUUUUUGGUAUGUGUGAUAAGCUUGAAAACCUCCCGCGAGAUUUAUGACGGUAUUACUUGAUAUCUUUAAAUUUUUAAAAAAAUAUUAUUUACCUCGACUAUUUUAAAAUUUUUUAAAUAGUUUUAUCAACUCAUUUCGAAGAAUAUGAUUUAAAAACUUAUUUUGAGAGAGAGAAGAUAUUUCUAUUCCAAAAUUACCGUUUUUUUGUGAACAUUUAGUUUUCAGAAGAACAAACCAAGUUAAUUCUUUAAG
RNAcentral lists this long non-coding RNA (336 nucleotides) under Coffea arabica (coffee). RNAcentral describes it as "long non-coding RNA (CARA_LNC002150)". The record is from RNAcentral. Lineage: Eukaryota; Viridiplantae; Streptophyta; Magnoliopsida; Gentianales; Rubiaceae.